GAUGAACGCUAGCUACAGGCUUAACACAUGCAAGUCGAGGGCAGCACAGUGUAGCAAUACGACGGUGGCGACGGCGCACGGGUGCGUAACGCGUAUCCAACCUUCCGUUAUCAGGGAUAGCCUUCCGAAAGGGAGAUUAAUACCUGAUGGUGUUGAAAUUCCGCAUGUUAUUUCAACUAAAGAUUUUAUCGGUAACGGAUAGGGAUGCGUGACAUUAGAUAGUAGGCGGGGUAACGGCCCACCUAGUCUACGAUGUCUAGGGGGUUCUGAGAGGAAGGUCCCCCACACUGGUACUGAGAUACGGACCAGACUCCUACGGGAGGCAGCAGUGAGGAAUAUUGGUCAAUGGUCGGAAGACUGAACCAGCCAUGCCGCGUGCAGGAAGAAUGUCUUAUGGAUUGUAAACUGCUUUUGUAUGGGGCUAAUAAUAACUUUGCGAAGUUAGAUGCAGGUACCAUACGAAUAAGGAUCGGCUAACUCCGUG
This 484-nucleotide ribosomal RNA is filed under the name uncultured bacterium. Its description in RNAcentral is "bacterial SSU rRNA". It matches the Rfam family "Bacterial small subunit ribosomal RNA", at positions 28 to 507 of the family's 1533-position model. The record is from RNAcentral.